UAAUUGCACUGAAGUUCAAGUUGUCUUUUCACCCAUCAGGAGUGGGCGUUUAAAGGAAGGAGAGCGAGGAGGAGGAGGGGGAGGGGGGAGAGUCUCUCUCGCUCGCUCGCUCUCGCACACACACACACACACACACACACACAGAGGCACACGCAUGCACGCACGCACACACACACACGCACACGCACCCGCCCGCUCGGCUCCGCUCCCGAGCUGCCUCAGCAAGGAGGAGCCCGGACGGAAAACACCAGGGCAGCAAGGAUUUGGAAGUGGAGUUCCUGGAGAAUGACCCUGGCAAUGAGCGCAGGUUUCCGUGAAAGCUGAGUCUGUUCCUUAUUCCCUAGGAGACUGACGAGAGAGGGGACCCCGGAUGUCAGCCCAAGCUCCGUUUUUUAAUUUGUCUCAACUUUGAGGCAGAUUUUCUCUUUCAGCUCUGGGAACUGACAGAUUUCCUAUCUAAAGAAUAUGCUGGGGAGGGCAAGUCCUCCUGUUACCAAGGAAUGGAAAAUCCUUAUCAAGGAAAGGCACAUCAGCGUGUCACUGGCUGCCAACACGAAUAUUUUGGACUGAGAAAAACUGCAUUUCAAACUAAGAAGAAUCAAGCCAAACAAGUCCCAGCUACCUACUGUGUGGGAGGAGAGAAUCUAAAAUGUAAACAGGUUAAUACUACACCAUGCCAUCUGGUAGUGAUGAAGCUGAAAGAAAGAGAUGGUUGGAAUGAUGCUGAUGAAAGGUUGCUUCAAAUCAAGCAGAGGAGAGAAAGUUGUUCAACUUGAUCCCAAGACUUCUGAGGUCUCUGAGGGUCUUCCCUUGGCAUCAGAAAACUUUGGACCAGUUGUGUCAGUUCAUCAAGAGAAAGACUCUACCCUUUGAAUUCAUCAGUGCUCAUCAGUAAAUAAGGUGAGUUUGCUAGGUCAGGGACAGAAGGUUCAUGUGAGUUCAUAACUGUUCUCAACUACACCGGGGAAGAUCUUGCUCAAAUGGUGGCUCUAUGAAUAUUGGUUCAUGUGAGUUCAUAACUGUUCUCAAGUACACAGUGGAGAUCUUGCUCAAAUGGUGGCUCUAUGAAUAUGACAAAAUAAUAAGUGAAAUUCAAACUCUGAAACUAUGCAAUUAAUUUCUGUUCUGGAGAACUAAGGGACUCCAAAAAGAAUGAGUUCUCAAGUACUGAGGUGACCAACAUUUCUAAAAUACACCAGCAUGCAAGCUUUUGCUGAGUAAACUAUA
Molecule: long non-coding RNA, 1227 nt
Filed under: Ficedula albicollis (Collared flycatcher)
Lineage: Eukaryota; Metazoa; Chordata; Aves; Passeriformes; Muscicapidae
Description: lncRNA (ENSFALG00000026445.1)
Source: RNAcentral